CGCGACCCCAGGUCAGGCGGGAUUAC
RNAcentral lists this ribosomal RNA (26 nucleotides) under Boronia falcifolia. RNAcentral's name for it is "partial 26S ribosomal RNA". RNAcentral also lists the same sequence under 1 other name. Lineage: Eukaryota; Viridiplantae; Streptophyta; Magnoliopsida; Sapindales; Rutaceae. The record is from RNAcentral.